Molecule: ribosomal RNA, 406 nt
Filed under: uncultured bacterium
Lineage: Bacteria
Description: partial 16S ribosomal RNA
Rfam family: Bacterial small subunit ribosomal RNA
Source: RNAcentral
AUUGAACGCUGGCGGCAGGCCUAACACAUGCAAGUCGAGCGAGCGGCGGACGGGUGAGUAAUGUCUGGGAAACUGCCUGAUGGAGGGGGAUAACUACUGGAAACGGUAGCUAAUACCGCAUACCAUCAGAUGUGCCCAGAUGGGAUUAGCUAGUAGGUGGGGUAAUGGCUCACCUAGGCGACGAUCCCUAGCUGGUCUGAGAGGAUGACCAGCGACACUGGAAUGUAGACACGGUCCAGACGCCUACGGGAGGCAGCAUUGGGGAAUAUUGAACGAUGGGCGCAAGCCUGAUGCAGCCAUGCCGCGUGUGUGAAGAAGGCCUUCGGGUUGUAGAGCACUUUCAGCGGGGAGGCGUUACCCGAAGAAGAAGCACCGGCUAACUCCGUGCCAGCAGCCGCGGUAAUAG